This 468-nucleotide ribosomal RNA is filed under the name uncultured bacterium. RNAcentral's name for it is "partial 16S ribosomal RNA". It matches the Rfam family "Bacterial small subunit ribosomal RNA", at positions 28 to 507 of the family's 1533-position model. The record is from RNAcentral.
GACGAACGCUGGCGGCGUGCUUAACACAUGCAAGUCGAACGGAAAGGCCCUGCUUUUGUGGGGUGCUCGAGUGGCGAACGGGUGAGUAACACGUGAGUAACCUGCCCUUGACUUUGGGAUAACUUCAGGAAACUGGGGCUAAUACCGGAUAGUAGCUCCUGCUGCAUGGUGGGGGUUGGAAAGUUUCGGCGGUUGGGGAUGGACUCGCGGCUUAUCAGCUUGUUGGUGGGGUAGUGGCUUACCAAGGCUUUGACGGGUAGCCGGCCUGAGAGGGUGACCGGCCACAUUGGGACUGAGAAACGGCCAAGACUCAUACGGGAGGCAGCAGUGGGGAAUAUUGCACAAUGGGCGGAAGCAUGAUGCAGCAACGCCGCGUGCGGGAUGACGGCCUUCGGGUUGUAAACCGCUUUCGCCUGUGACGAAGCGUGAGUGACGGUAAUGGGUAAAGAAGCACCGGCUAACUACGUG